RNAcentral lists this ribosomal RNA (464 nucleotides) under uncultured bacterium. RNAcentral describes it as "partial 16S ribosomal RNA". It matches the Rfam family "Bacterial small subunit ribosomal RNA", at positions 338 to 795 of the family's 1533-position model. The record is from RNAcentral.
CCUACGGGAGGCAGCAGGAGGGAAUGGUCGGCAAUGGGCGCAAGCCGGAACGAGCGAGGCCGCGGGAGUGAAGAAGGCCUUCGGGUCGUAAAGCUCUGUUGCGGGGGAAAAAGGCAGCAUCAGGAAAUGGGUGCUGACUGACGGUUCCCCGCCAGAAAGUCACGGCUAACUACGGGCCAGCAGCCGCGGUAAUACGUAGGUGGCGAGCGUUAGCCGGAAUGAUUGGGCGUAAAGGGUGCGCAGGCGGUCCUGCAAGUCUGGAGUGAAACGCAUGAGCUCAACUCAUGCAUGGCUUUGGAAACUGGAGGACUGGAGCGCAGGAGAGGGCGGUGGAACUCCAUGUGUAGCGGUGAAAUGCGUAGAUAUAUGGAAGAACACCAGUGGCGAAGGCGGCCGCCUGGACUGUUACUGACGCUGAGGCACGAAAGCGUGGGGAGCAAAUAGGAUUAGAUACCCGUGUAGUC